UUUAUGGAGAGUUUGAUCCUGGCUCAGGAUGAACGCUGGCGGCGUGCCUAAUACAUGCAAGUCGAGCGAACGGACGAGAAGCUUGCUUCUCUGAUGUUAGCGGCGGACGGGUGAGUAACACGUGGAUAACCUACCUAUAAGACUGGGAUAACUUCGGGAAACCGGAGCUAAUACCGGAUGAUAUUUUGAACCGCAUGGUUCAAAAGUGAAAGACGGUCUUGCUGUCACUUAUAGAUGGAUCCGCGCUGCAUUAGCUAGUUGGUAAGGUAACGGCUUACCAAGGCAACGAUGCAUAGCCGACCUGAGAGGGUGAUCGGCCACACUGGAACUGAGACACGGUCCAGACUCCUACGGGAGGCAGCAGUAGGGAAUCUUCCGCAAUGGGCGAAAGCCUGACGGAGCAACGCCGCGUGAGUGAUGAAGGUCUUCGGAUCGUAAAACUCUGUUAUUAGGGAAGAACAUAUGUGUAAGUAACUGUGCACAUCUUGACGGUACCUAAUCAGAAAGCCACGGCUAACUA
RNAcentral lists this ribosomal RNA (520 nucleotides) under Staphylococcus aureus. Its description in RNAcentral is "bacterial SSU rRNA". It matches the Rfam family "Bacterial small subunit ribosomal RNA", at positions 1 to 503 of the family's 1533-position model. The record is from RNAcentral. Lineage: Bacteria; Bacillati; Bacillota; Bacilli; Caryophanales; Staphylococcaceae.